UACGGAGGGAGCUAGCGUUGUUCGGAAUUACUGGGCGUAAAGCGCGCGUAGGCGGCUUUGUAAGUUAGAGGUGAAAGCCCGGGGCUCAACCCCGGAACUGCCUUUAAGACUGCAUCGCUUGAAUCCGGGAGAGGUGAGUGGAAUUCCGAGUGUAGAGGUGAAAUUCGUAGAUAUUGGGAAGAACACCGGUGGCGAAGGCGGCGACCUGGUCCUUUUACUGACGCUGAGGCGCGAAAGCGUGGGGAGCAAACAGG
This 254-nucleotide ribosomal RNA is filed under the name uncultured bacterium. RNAcentral describes it as "partial 16S ribosomal RNA". It matches the Rfam family "Bacterial small subunit ribosomal RNA", at positions 524 to 776 of the family's 1533-position model. The record is from RNAcentral.